GACUGCCCCUUGUCCACCACCCGCUGAGCUGAAACCAGUGGCUUCACACAGCCAGACACCCACCUAGGGCCACAUGGAAAGCGUGUGACAGUCCUUCCAUGUCUGCCCACCCAGAGCAACUGGCAGGACGUGGGUUUUCUCCCACUCCCCUUUAGUCCCCCACGUUCCCUGCCCUGCAUUCCUGGAUAGCCAGGUCUACACAGAGAAAAAAAGACUAGCUGUCAGUUCCUGUGAGUUUCUUCCUGCUGUGAACAUCAGGGCUCUGGGCUCUGUCUCCUGGUCACCUCCCUCGCACCAUGGCCCUGAAGCAGCAAUCUGCGAUCCUGCCUCAGCCCAAGAAACCCAGACCAGCUGCUGCCCCGAAGCUGGAGGACAAGUCGGCCUCUCCCGGCCUGCCGAAGGGAGAAAAAGAACAGCAAGAAGCAAUUGAACAUAUUGAUGAAGAACAAAAUGAAACAGACAGACUUAAUGAACAAGACAGUGAGGAAAAUUUGAAAGUAGAACAAAAAUAUAACAAACUCUGCCAACCAUUUUUUCAGAAGAGGUCAGAAUUGAUCGCCAAAAUCCCAAAUUUUGGGGUAACAACAUUUGUCAAGUAUCCACAAGUGUCUGCACUGCUUGGGGAGGAGGACGAGGAGGCGCUGCAUUAUUUGACCAGAGUUGAAGUGACAGAAUUUGAAGACAUUAAAUCAGGUUACAGAAUAGAUUUUUAUUUUGAUGAAAAUCCUUACUUUGAAAAUAAAGUUCUCUCCAAAGAAUUUCAUCUGAAUGAGAGUGGUGACCCGUCUUCAAAGUCCACUGAAAUCAAAUGGAAAUCUGGAAAGGAUUUGACAAAACGCUCAAGUCAAACGCAGAGUAAGGCCAGCAGGAAGAGGCAGCACGAAGAGCCUGAGAGCUUCUUUACCUGGUUUACUGACCAUCCUAACGUAGGUGCUGACGAGUUAGGAGAGGUCAUCAAAGAUUACAUUUGGCCAAAUCCCUUGCAGUACUAUCUGGUUCCCGACAUGGAUGAUGAAGAAGGAGAGGCAGAAGAUGAUGAUGACGACGAGGAUGAGGAGGAGGGGUUGGAAGAUAUUGAUGAAGAAGGAGAUGAGGAUGAAGGUGAAGAAGAUGAUGAUGAGAUGAAGGGGAGGAAGGAGAGGAGGACGAAGGUGAGGAUGAUUAGCACAGAAGACUGACAGAUUCCAACCUUCUUUUUUUAUUUUCUUUUUAUUUUUUAAUUUUCUCCAGUCCCUGGGAGCAAGUUGCAGUCCUUUCCUCCCUGUCCCUCUGUGCUCAGUCACCCUGUUUUGAGGUCUCAACAUCAUGGUUCUCAAUUAAUUUGGGGGGAAAUAUCUUGAGCAAAAUACAACAGGAAAAGAAUCUCCGUUUCUGUUCUAAAUUCAUUUUUUAUCCUUUCUUGUCUAAAUUUGUGGAUUCCACACCACCAUGCUCUGUGGGAAAAAAGAAAAGCCCUCCAGUUCCCUUGGCUCUGCUGGAGGGCGCUAGGCCCCUGUGUAGUAGUUUAUAGAAUUUUAGCUUUUCUUCUUUUCUCUGUAUAUUGGGCUCAGAGAUUACACUGCGUCUCUAUGUGAAUACAGACAGUUAGCAUUUACCAACAUGUAUCUGUCUACUUUCUUUUGUUUAAUAAAAAGAAAAAAAA
This is an RNA transcript of Mus musculus (house mouse), 1642 nucleotides long. It is a transcript of the gene named predicted gene 6579, with no coding region annotated. The transcript has 2 exons. The record is from RefSeq and is a predicted model, not a curated record. Lineage: Eukaryota; Metazoa; Chordata; Mammalia; Rodentia; Muridae.